GAUGGGCGUGGUGGUGCACACCUGUAAUUCCAGUGACUCUGGAGGCUGAGGCAGGAGGAUCGAAAGUUUGAGGCUGGCCUCAGGAGCUUAGCGAGACCCUGUCUCAA
This 107-nucleotide small RNA is filed under the name Marmota monax (woodchuck). Lineage: Eukaryota; Metazoa; Chordata; Mammalia; Rodentia; Sciuridae. The record is from RNAcentral.